UGGGAGUAAGGUCAAAUCAAGAAAGAACCCUCUUCAAAAAAUUUUGGAGGAUCUUUUUGCCACACCACCUUCUGCUAUGACUAGUAGUCAACAAGGACAACACCUUUCGCCAAUCCUUGAACAAAGCACUCCACAAUCUAUGGAUUCCACAAAAAUUGAAACGCCAAAAAGGACAAAGCAAACAUUUAGGGGUCGUUUUUACCUUUACCAUCGUGCACCUCAACCCCUUAUAAUGGCAACCCAAAACAGAUAGGUCA
Molecule: non-coding RNA, 257 nt
Organism: Misgurnus anguillicaudatus (oriental weatherfish)
Lineage: Eukaryota; Metazoa; Chordata; Actinopteri; Cypriniformes; Cobitidae
Source: RefSeq, a predicted model, not a curated record